AUUAUUAAAGAAUUUCGGUUAUCGAUGGGGAUGCGUUCCAUUAGGCAGUUGGUGGGGUAACGGCCCACCAAACCUUCGAUGGAUAGGGGUUCUGAGAGGAAGGUCCCCCACAUUGGAACUGAGACACGGUCCAAACUCCUACGGGAGGCAGCAGUGAGGAAUAUUGGUCAAUGGACGAGAGUCUGAACCAGCCAAGUAGCGUGAAGGAUGACUGCCCUAUGGGUUGUAAACUUCUUUUAUAUGGGAAUAAAGUGGUCCACGUGUGGAUUUUUGUAUGUACCAUAUGAAUAAGGAUCGGCUAACUCCGUGCCAGCAGCCGCGGUAAUACGGAGGAUCCGAGCGUUAUCCGGAUUUAUUGGGUUUAAAGGGAGCGUAGGUGGACAGUUAAGUCAGUUGUGAAAGUUUGCGGCUCAACCGUAAAAUUGCAGUUGAUACUGGCUGUCUUGAGUACAGUAGAGGUGGGCGGAAUUCGUGGUGUAGCGGUGAAAUGCUUAGAUAUCACGAAGAACUCCGAUUGCGAAGGCAGCUCACUGGACUGCAACUGACACUGAUGCUCGAAAGUGUGGGUAUCAAACAGGAUUAGAUACCCUGGUAGUCCACACAGUAAACGAUGAAUACUCGCUGUUUGCGAUAUACAGUAAGCGGCCAAGCGAAAGCAUUAAGUAUUCCACCUGGGGAGUACGCCGGCAACGGUGAAACUCAAAGGAAUUGACGGGGGCCCGCACAAGCGGAGGAACAUGUGGUUUAAUUCGAUGAUACGCGAGGAACCUUACCCGGGCUUAAAUUGCAUUUGAAUAUAUUGGAAACAGUAUAGCCGUAAGGCAAAUGUGAAGGUGCUGCAUGGUUGUCGUCAGCUCGUGCCGUGAGGUGUCGGCUUAAGUGCCAUAACGAGCGCAACCCUUAUCUUCAGUUACUAACAGGUCAUGCUGAGGACUCUGGAGAGACUGCCGUCGUAAGAUGUGAGGAAGGUGGGGAUGACGUCAAAUCAGCACGGCCCUUACGUCCGGGGCUACACACGUGUUACAAUGGGGGGUACAGAAGGCCGCUACCUGGUGACAGGAUGCUAAUCCCAAAAGCCUCUCUCAGUUCGGAUCGAAGUCUGCAACCCGACUUCGUGAAGCUGGAUUCGCUAGUAAUCGCGCAUCANCCAUGGCGCGGUGAAUACGUUCCCGGGCCUUGUACACACCGCCCGUCAAGCCAUGAAAGCCGGGGGUACCUGAAGUA
This 1224-nucleotide ribosomal RNA is filed under the name Bacteroides faecis. RNAcentral's name for it is "bacterial SSU rRNA". It matches the Rfam family "Bacterial small subunit ribosomal RNA", at positions 197 to 1428 of the family's 1533-position model. The record is from RNAcentral. Lineage: Bacteria; Pseudomonadati; Bacteroidota; Bacteroidia; Bacteroidales; Bacteroidaceae.